This 497-nucleotide ribosomal RNA is filed under the name uncultured bacterium. Its description in RNAcentral is "partial 16S ribosomal RNA". It matches the Rfam family "Bacterial small subunit ribosomal RNA", at positions 28 to 507 of the family's 1533-position model. The record is from RNAcentral.
GAUGAACGCUGGCGGCGUGCCUAAUACAUGCAAGUCGAGCGAACAGACGAGGAGUUUGCUCCUCUGACGUUAGCGGCGGACGGGUGAGUAACACGUGGAUAACCUACCUAUAAGACUGGGAUAACUUCGGGAAACCGGAGCUAAUACCGGAUAAUAUAUUGAACCGCAUGGUUCAAUAGUGAAAGACGGUUUUGCUGUCACUUAUAGAUGGAUCCGCGCCGCAUUAGCUAGUUGGUAAGGUAACGGCUUACCAAGGCAACGAUGCGUAGCCGACCUGAGAGGGGGAGCGGCCACGCUGGAACUGAGACACGGUCCAGACUCCUACGGGAGGCAGCAGUAGGGAAUCGUCCGCAAUGGGCGAAAGCUUGACGGAGCAACGCCGCGGGAGUGAUGAAGGUCUUCGGAUCGUAAAACUCUGUUAUUAGGGAAGAACAAAUGUGUAAGUAACUAUGCACGUCUUGACGGUACCUAAUCAGAAAGCCACGGCUAACUACGUG